This is a small nuclear RNA of Jaculus jaculus (lesser Egyptian jerboa), 106 nucleotides long. Lineage: Eukaryota; Metazoa; Chordata; Mammalia; Rodentia; Dipodidae. The record is from Ensembl.
GUGCUUGCUUCAGCAGCACAUAUACUAAAUUGGAAUGACACAGACAAGGUUAGCAAGGCCUCUGCACAAGGAUGAAACCCAAAUUUGUGAAGCGCUCCAUAUUUUA